UCCUUAAUUGAUGUUUCAAAGAAGAGAAAUCCAUGGUCAAUUUUCCUCUUGUGAAGCUCCCAAGAAAAGAAAUAGAAGAAUUUCCUAAAUCCUGAACCAAAGAAGCAUAAACUAGUGAGUGCAAAGGCAGAAAAAAAGCAGUAACAUUCUAGAGAUAAAAUGCAAAGCUUGAUUGCAAGAAGGAUGUCAACUAAGAAUGAAACUAUUCAGAGAAGGAAAGCAAAUAUGCAACAGGGAGUUGUGAGCCAUCCCUGGGAUACAUCCUGCAAACCACCAUCACUUUGCCAGUGGUCCAGCAGACCACAGUGAAAUGAUAUUGUACCUUUACUUUGGAGGGGAUUAUUUUUUUUCUCCUAGAACCAACAACCAAACACCUGAAAAGGGUGAGAAGUUCUGCUAGACUGAGGUUUCUCCUUUGGAAAGUCAAAAAAGAUCCCUACACAUUUUUUGGAAAUAAAAAGGGCUGUGA
Molecule: long non-coding RNA, 469 nt
Filed under: Phasianus colchicus (ring-necked pheasant)
Lineage: Eukaryota; Metazoa; Chordata; Aves; Galliformes; Phasianidae
Description: lncRNA (ENSPCLG00000003788.1)
Source: RNAcentral